Molecule: long non-coding RNA, 1350 nt
Filed under: Salvia miltiorrhiza (redroot sage)
Lineage: Eukaryota; Viridiplantae; Streptophyta; Magnoliopsida; Lamiales; Lamiaceae
Description: long non-coding RNA (SMIL_LNC001640)
Source: RNAcentral
GUAGGUCUUCUCGACCGAACCACGUAAAUCCGGUGUCGUUUAUUGCUUUCUAGUUUAGGUGUUGGUUUCUCGUUUCACCAACUGGCGCCGUCUGUGGGAAAAUCGAGCUAAGGCGUGAGAUUCACUGUUCAUCGAAGUUACUGUUCAUCGAGAAGAAAAAAAAAUACAAUUCAUCUUCUCCGAUCUAUUCUGUCACUUUUCCGGCGAUAUCAGCCACUGAAACAGAGGUAAACCUCCUUCACAAAAAAUGAAAACAUCCUGCCAAUACCACCGAUGACCUCCUUCGAAAAAUCGAGGUUCACCCAUUUCAGUUCCCCAAAAACUGAUCACUUCCCGAUUUCCUCAGCAAAUCCCCCAAAAAAUUCGAUCCAGAAGCGAAAAUCUGAAAUCCUCAAAGAAAAGACCCCAAUCUCCACAAAUUCCCUUUAUUCCAGCCUAAAUCGCUGCUCACUAGGUUCUCCGGCGGAAAUCCGGCACCCAAAUAUGAAAUCCAGCCUACCAUCGUCAUUAUUUCUCUCUCUCGUAAAACACCAGAAAAAUUUCCCCUCAAAUCCACAUCGUGGUUCUCUCUGAAAAUCCGGCAAACGCCACUCUUCCCUGAACUCCAAAGCCUUCUGCCGUGCAAACAUUUGGAAUCAACCCAUCUUUCACCCUCUCCAGUCGAACUAGUCUCCCUCUGUCAAAAUCAGCAGAGCCGUCGUCCGCUUCCUGGUUCGAAACAGGUCCGUCUGUAUAUCGAGCCUCCUCCACGCCGCAAAAUCUCGAAGAGGGCUCCAUUGGAGACCCCCCAAAUGAUGAUCUGGGCCUCGAGAAGAAAUGAAUACCAAAGCUAAGAUAUCUGUUCCUCUCUCUAUAUGUUAUCACCCUUUGAACUGCAUUAGGGAGAUGAGAACUGAAAUUAUGUCUGCGAUCAUUCCCUUCUACGAUCUGCUAAUUUCAUUGUUACUUUUGAAAAUGUUUAUCUGGAGAACAUAUAAGUUUGGCUAAAUGUUUGAGAUAUUAAGAUGCCUACUGCGUGUUCUUGAUUUUAAAGAUUCAAAGAUUUGUGUCGAGAUUCACGUUGUCACUUGUGGGGUUAUAGUGAUUGAAAACAAAUACGAAUUUCAUUCAUAUUGAACUUAGCCCAUUAAUUUCUACUAAUUUUAUUUACUAGUCUCUUGUCUAGAGGGAUAGCAAAAUGAUCAGGAUAUUUCAGUAGCUUUUCUAUUGUACACUACCUUGAUUGUGUAGCGAUUGGCCUUUUUAAAUUCAUCAUUUGCCCUGUGCUGGUUCUUGGGAUUUUUGAGCUUGGUAUUAUUGUGCUUUUACUUUACUUGUAAGCUUGAUAGUGCUGAUGCUAUUAUGGUUUUU